RNAcentral lists this ribosomal RNA (405 nucleotides) under Triticum aestivum (bread wheat). RNAcentral describes it as "partial small subunit ribosomal RNA". The record is from RNAcentral. Lineage: Eukaryota; Viridiplantae; Streptophyta; Magnoliopsida; Poales; Poaceae.
AUGGCGCCACCACCACAACCACCAUGUCGACGGUGCAAGUCAAGGUGCGCCAGCAGCCUUGCAACUGGCACGCUGUUCGGCAUCUACUUCGAGUCUAGUUUUCUUCAUGCGGCGAUCGUCCCAUGCAAUGUGAGGCCGGAAUUCAACAAGCUGACCGGAGACUCUGUGACCUUUGAGGCUCCUGGGGGCCCCUACACCAUGGAGGUCGAGAAAGGACGAAAUAUGACGCAGGUGGGAGGAGAUGGAUGGGUCCGUUUCAUCGCCCACAUGCGUAUCACCGGUGGUGAGUUGAUCAGCUUCUCCUUCAGAGCAGAAAGACCCAAGCUGGUCGUCAUUAUGUCAACAAAGCAGAAGAUGAUGAAGAUGAUGAGGAUGAUGAUGACCCACUUGAUGAAGCCUUCGUAG